Molecule: long non-coding RNA, 217 nt
Filed under: Carica papaya (papaya)
Lineage: Eukaryota; Viridiplantae; Streptophyta; Magnoliopsida; Brassicales; Caricaceae
Description: long non-coding RNA (CPAP_LNC015769)
Source: RNAcentral
CUAUUUUGUUUGUCAUUAAAAUUUUAGAUUUGAAGAUGGAGCCACAAGGGAGUGAAAGAACAUCAAAAGAUCAAGAAUUCAUCCUCAAAGCAAUGCAACAACAAUUUGAGAGGAUUCAAGUAGCUAUUGGCAAAAUAAAUGAGAAAUCAAAGAAACAACAACGUCAGUUAAAUUCCAUGAGAGGGGAAGCUUCCCAAACCAAUAUAAGGGCAAGAAG